Paenibacillus uliginis N3/975 is the source of this 128-nucleotide regulatory RNA element. It matches the Rfam family "ylbH leader". From Rfam's summary of the family: This family is a putative regulatory RNA structure that is found upstream of the ylbH gene in B. subtilis and related low GC Gram-positive bacteria. NCBI's taxonomy places the organism in Bacteria, Bacillati, Bacillota, Bacilli, Caryophanales, Paenibacillaceae. The record is from Rfam.
AGAACAAAAUCCCUGUAGAAAACCUUUAAUCUACAGGGAUUUUGUUCAGGAACCUCCGAGGAGGUUCCUUCAUGGGAGAGGAGAAACCGGACGAAGAGCUUAUGGGGAAACGUAAGUCUUCUCCGCGG